RNAcentral lists this long non-coding RNA (448 nucleotides) under Homo sapiens (human). Its description in RNAcentral is "HSALNT0302761". The record is from RNAcentral. Lineage: Eukaryota; Metazoa; Chordata; Mammalia; Primates; Hominidae.
AAGGCCUGAAACAAAAGAAGAGUGAGCACACUGCCAAGCACAGCCAAGGCAGUUGGGACAAGAUUUCCUUUCGCAAGGAGCCUGGUGGGUAACGAUGGUGUGCUGCUGAGAAGGCUCUUACACAGACAGCAUAGGUCUGCUGUUACCAGGCCUGCAGAGGGAAGCCCUGGUGGAAGCACCACCUAGCCUGAGAACAUCUACAGAGACAUUUCAUCCUCUCUGACCCAAAACAAAAUAAACACCACAAAGUGAACCAACACAAGCAGGAAGACCGGACUUAACAAACAAGUAUGUCUACAUUUGACUGUUUACGUCAAGUGAAUUGAGAGUGUGGCGUAAAAUUACUACAGAUUUUGUCAUGGUAUUUUUCAAUGAGAAAUCUGAGAAUCCAUCUUUGCACUUGUUUUUGCCUCAGCCGUUCACUAAGUUUGCUGCCAAAACAGACAUC